CAAAGGCUAGUUUAUAAAAAUAGCUGCUUUGGGGGCAGCAGAUAUAGGUAAAACUCCUAUGCCUUUGA
RNAcentral lists this transfer RNA (68 nucleotides) under Stichopus naso. Its description in RNAcentral is "tRNA-Pro". It matches the Rfam family "tRNA". From Rfam's summary of the family: Transfer RNA (tRNA) molecules are approximately 80 nucleotides in length. Lineage: Eukaryota; Metazoa; Echinodermata; Holothuroidea; Aspidochirotida; Stichopodidae. The record is from RNAcentral.